Molecule: ribosomal RNA, 403 nt
Filed under: bacterium
Lineage: Bacteria
Description: partial 16S ribosomal RNA
Rfam family: Bacterial small subunit ribosomal RNA
Source: RNAcentral
UGGGGAAUAUUGCACAAUGGGGGAAACCCUGAUGCAGCGACGCCGCGUGAACGAAGAAGGUAUUCGUAUCGUAAAGUUCUGUCCUAUGGGAAGAUAAUGACAGUACCAUAGAAGAAAGCUCCGGCUAAAUACGUGCCAGCAGCCGCGGUAAUACGUAUGGAGCGAGCGUUGUCCGGAAUUAUUGGGCGUAAAGGGUACGCAGGCGGUUUAAUAAGUCGAAUGUUAAAGAUCGGGGCUCAACCCCGUAAAGCAUUGGAAACUGAUAAACUUGAGUAGUGGAGAGGAAAGUGGAAUUCCUCGUGUUGUGGUGAAAUACGUAGAUAUUAGGAGGAAUACCAGUAGCGAAGGCGACUUUCUGGACACAAACUGACGCUGAGGUACGAAAGCGUGGGGAGCAAACAGG